This is a long non-coding RNA of Asparagus officinalis (garden asparagus), 929 nucleotides long. RefSeq lists it as uncharacterized. The record is from RefSeq and is a predicted model, not a curated record. The transcript has 7 exons. NCBI's taxonomy places the organism in Eukaryota, Viridiplantae, Streptophyta, Magnoliopsida, Asparagales, Asparagaceae.
AUAGGACCUCGCCGCCUCUCCUCCUCCUCAUCUUCGCCGGACCUGACUUGUAUGAUGCGACCGUCGAGGCUAUUACUUCUAAUGGUUACCAUGUUGCCUAUGAUGGAUGGGGAAACAAGGAGGAGGUCAAACUGAUGCUAAUUGCGCUUCUAUCUGAAUCUGAACUUAGAGUAUUUGAUGCCACAAUUGAGCUAAUCUUAGAUAAGGGGUGCAGCUUGGUGAAUGCAUUAAAACUUUAAUCCAUGCCGAUUACCCUGAACAGUGGCCUAGCCUUCUUCACUGGAUAACAUGCAACUUACAAUUACAAGACCAACAAGUACAUGGAGCUCUCUAUGUGCUAAGGAUUCUUUCCAGGAAAUAUGAGGUAAUCACUUCUAGAGAGAGCAAGUUGGUGAAGUUGCUACUCAACUUGUGAAGUUUCUAAAAAGCUUUACGUGCAUGCAUAUUGUAUAUAAUUGAGGCACAUUCAUUGGUUGGGAAGUUGGUGAAGUUGCUACUCAACUUGUCAUUCAUUCAUGCCUUGUGCUUCAGUCCAAAUAGGUACUGGCUCCGUGUUGCCACUCAAGAGAGUGUGAAGAUAUGGGAUAUGGAGACUGGAGAGCAAGUCUAUUGUUCAGGAUCUGAAGCCAACUGAUGCCCCUUAGCCAACUUCAUCCAAAAAACAGAGGUUUGGCCUUCCUCAAGGAAUGUAAAUGGAUUGACACGGAGCAUCAUCAGGCCCAAGUUCAUAUUUUGUCAAGAACAUCCUGAGAUUAGAAAUUCCAUUAUUUGUUAAAACUUGAAUUUGAUGGAUAAGGAGGAACCUCCUGUUAUCAAGUCACCUUUCUCUGUUAUCCUUCUGCGUCUUCUUCAUCUUUUCUAUGUAAAAAAGCUGAGGAUGUUUUAAUUUGAUCAAAGGAAUUGAUGAAUGCAUUGUGAUUUUGUCUCAA